Molecule: ribosomal RNA, 253 nt
Filed under: uncultured bacterium
Lineage: Bacteria
Description: partial 16S ribosomal RNA
Rfam family: Bacterial small subunit ribosomal RNA
Source: RNAcentral
UACCGAGGGUGCAAGCGUUGUUCGGAAUCACUGGGCGUAAAGCGCGUGUAGGCGGUUUCCUAAGUCAGGUGUGAAAUCCCCCGGCUUAACCGGGGAAGUGCGCCUGAAACUGGGAGGCUUGAGUAUCGGAGAGGAAAGGGGAAUUCCCGGUGUAGAGGUGAAAUUCGUAGAUAUCGGGAGGAACACCGGCGGCGAAGGCGCCUUUCUGGUCGAUCACUGACGCUGAGACGCGAAAGCGUGGGGAGCAAACAGG